GAUACGUCAGGAUGACCACAGAUUUUUCUACAAGUUCUUUUGCAAGACGCCACAGCUCUUUGACAAGCUAUUGAGCUUUGUCGCAGAGCACCUCACAUGGCAGCAGCACAUUCGAGAAACCCCUGGAGCCUGGAGAACGACUUGCUGUAGCAUUGAGAAUGCCACGCUACCACUCCAACGGGUGUCACCAGCCUGGCUGCCACGGCGGCCCAUCGCAACAUCACCUACGUCGUCGGUCUCUCACCCAGGCGACCGAUGUGCGCUAGCGUCGGUUGGGCGAAAAGUGCAUUGUCUCUGAAAGAGCGCACGCCUUGAGCGCAUGCCAUUUGGAGCCGUCACGUGCAGCGCCGAACGACGCCAGACAGCAUUCCAGCCCAUCGCGUGCCAACUGCCCCGAACAUUUUGCUUCGCAACAGCCGUGAUAUACUCGACUAGGACGAUGCCUGGUGCUUUUGGACAUAGCAUUGGACAUAGCGUUGGACAUAGCGUUGGACAUAGCGUUGUUGCAAAGUGUUGUUGCAGAGUGUUGUUGCAAAGUGUUGUUGCAAAGUGUUGUUGCACAGUGUUGUUGCAAAGUGUUGUUGCAAAGUGUUGUUGCAAAGUGUUGUUGCAAAGUGUUGUUGCAAAGUGUUGUUGCAAAGUGUUGUUGCAAAGUGUUGUUGCAAAGUGCAGUAGCAAAGUGUUGUUGCAAAGUGUAGUAGCAAAGUGUAGUUGCAAAGUGUGGUUGCAUGGUGUAGUUGCAUGGUGUAGUUGCAUGGUGUAGUUGCAUGGUGUAGUUGCAUGGUGUAGUUGCAUAGUGUAGUUGCAUAGUGUAGUUGCAUGGUGUAGUUGCAUAGUAUUGUUGCAUAGUGCUGUUGGACACCCAGGUGGGUGUCCGGUCUUGUACGGGGGGGAGUGUCGGGCCCUUGGCCCUCUCUGCAGCGCGCCCGGGGGAAGCCUUUGAAUCGCGCGCCACAACGGCACUCGUCGCAUGGAGCAUGCGCAUCGAUCGCGGUAGCGUAAGAACUCGCGCGGGGACUGCCGGGAAGGCGGCUGCCCGAUAAGAUGGCAGCGGAGACGGCACUCGGGGCUUUUUGCGGGGCGCGGGCUUGGGGAGGCGCUGGUGGGGCGUGGCCCGUCUAGGUUUCUUUUACCGAGCGUGCUGCAGAGCAGGGGGAAAAGCGUCUUUGCAUUGUGUCUGCAUGAAAGAGUGUUGUUGUUCUUGUUGUUCGCUUUUGGGACUAUCCGCGCGCCUGGUUCGGUGCUUGCUUGCUUUCUGCGCUUUAUGCAUUCUGUUAUCGCCCGAAAGAUUGUGUUGGUUGAUGGUUGGUAGCGGCCGUUCUUUCGUCGCUCCCUUUCGCUUGCAUAUUUGGUUGCCUCGCUGUUUUGCUGCUUGCCUCUUUGCUUUUGCUGCCUUUUGCUGCUUUGCUUCUUUGCUGCCUGCUUCCUUGCCUUGUUGUUUUCUGCUAUUGGCCGCGAGGCUGCGGUAAUUUUGAGUGUUACAUUCUAGCGUAAAUUAAAGCGGUUUUUGUUCCUUG
This is a long non-coding RNA of Dermacentor albipictus, 1517 nucleotides long. RefSeq lists it as uncharacterized. The record is from RefSeq and is a predicted model, not a curated record. NCBI's taxonomy places the organism in Eukaryota, Metazoa, Arthropoda, Arachnida, Ixodida, Ixodidae.